AAUGAACGCUGGCGGCAUGCCUUACACAUGCAAGUCGAACGGCAGCACGGGAGCAAUCCUGGUGGCGAGUGGCGAACGGGUGAGUAAUAUAUCGGAACGUGCCCGGUCGUGGGGGAUAACGUAGCGAAAGCUACGCUAAUACCGCAUACGAUCUACGGAUGAAAGCGGGGGAUCGCAAGACCUCGCGCGAUUGGAGCGGCCGAUAUCAGAUUAGGUAGUUGGUGAGGUAAAGGCUCACCAAGCCGACGAUCUGUAGCUGGUCUGAGAGGACGACCAGCCACACUGGGACUGAGACACGGCCCAGACUCCUACGGGAGGCAGCAGUGGGGAAUUUUGGACAAUGGGCGCAAGCCUGAUCCAGCAAUGCCGCGUGCAGGAUGAAGGCCUCGGUUGUAACUAGCUUUGUUACGGUAACG
RNAcentral lists this ribosomal RNA (416 nucleotides) under uncultured bacterium. RNAcentral describes it as "bacterial SSU rRNA". It matches the Rfam family "Bacterial small subunit ribosomal RNA", at positions 29 to 448 of the family's 1533-position model. The record is from RNAcentral.